AGAUUGAACGCUGGCGGCAGGCCUAACACAUGCAAGUCGAGCGGUAGAGAGGUGCUUGCAUCUCUUGAGAGCGGCGGACGGGUGAGUAAUGCCUAGGAAUCUGCCUAGUGGUGGGGGAUAACGUUCGGAAACGGACGCUAAUACCGCAUACGUCCUACGGGAGAAAGUGGGGGAUCUUCGGACCUCACGCUAUCAGAUGAGCCUAGGUCGGAUUAGCUAGUUGGUAGGUAAAGGCCUACCAAGGCUACGAUCCGUAACUGGUCUGAGAGGAUGAUCAGUCACACUGGAACUGAGACACGGUCCAGACUCCUACGGGAGCAGCAGUGGGGAAUAGUUGGACAAUGGGCGAAAGCCUGAUCCAGCCAUGCCGCGUGUGUGAAGAAGGUC
This 387-nucleotide ribosomal RNA is filed under the name uncultured soil bacterium. Its description in RNAcentral is "bacterial SSU rRNA". It matches the Rfam family "Bacterial small subunit ribosomal RNA", at positions 26 to 416 of the family's 1533-position model. The record is from RNAcentral.